CUGAGUACGGCGGAACACGUGAAAUUCCGUCGGAAUCCGGGAGGACCAUCUCCCAAGGCUAAAUACUCCCUAGUGACCGAUAGUGAACCAGUACCGUGAGGGAAAGGUGAAAAGCACCCCGGAAGGGGAGUGAAACAGUUCCUGAAACCGUGUGCCUACAAGUAGUUAGAGCCCGUUAAUGGGUGAUAGCGUGCCUUUUGUAGAAUGAACCGGCGAGUUACGAUUUGUUGCAAGGUUAAGCGGAAAAAGCGGAGCCGUAGCGAAAGCGAGUCUGAAUAGGGCGCAUAAGUAACAGGUCGUAGACCCGAAACCAGGUGAUCUACCCAUGUCCAGGAUGAAGGUAAGGUAAUACUUACUGGAGGUCCGAACCCACGCACGUUGAAAAGUGCGGGGAUGAGGUGUGGGUAGCGGAGAAAUUCCAAUCGAACUUGGAGAUAGCUGGUUCUCUCCGAAAUAGCUUUAGGGCUAGCCUCGAGGUAAAGAGUCAUGGAGGUAGAGCACUGUUUGGACUAGGGGCCCUUCUCGGGUUACCGAAUUCAGAUAAACUCCGAAUGCCAUGUACUUAUACUCGGGAGUCAGACUGCGAGUGAUAAGAUCCGUAGUCGAAAGGGAAACAGCCCAGACCACCAGUUAAGGUCCCCAAAUAUAUGUUAAGUGGAAAAGGAUGUGGGGUUGCUUAGACAACCAGGAUGUUGGCUUAGAAGCAGCCACCAUUGAAAGAGUGCGUAAUAGCUCACUGGUCGAGUGACCCCGCGCCGAAAAUGUACCGGGGCUAAACAUAUUACCGAAACUGUGGAUGAACCUCUUUAGAGGUUCGUGGUAGGAGAGCGUUCUAAGGGCGGUGAAGUCAGACCGGAAGGACUGGUGGAGCGCUUAGAAGUGAGAAUGCCGGUAUGAGUAGCGAAAGAAGGGUGAGAAUCCCUUCCACCGAAUAUCUAAGGUUUCCUGAGGAAGGCUCGUCCGCUCAGGGUUAGUCGGGACCUAAGCCGAGGCCGAUAGGCGUAGGCGAUGGACAACAGGUAGAGAUUCCUGU
RNAcentral lists this ribosomal RNA (1033 nucleotides) under Listeria monocytogenes. RNAcentral describes it as "partial 23S ribosomal RNA". It matches the Rfam family "Bacterial large subunit ribosomal RNA", at positions 408 to 1442 of the family's 2925-position model. Lineage: Bacteria; Bacillati; Bacillota; Bacilli; Caryophanales; Listeriaceae. The record is from RNAcentral.